UCACCCAUUCCAGACAAAGGCUAAUCCUCCAUCAUCUCCAGGAGGGGCGGGCAACCUUCUCCGGGAAGGACCAGGUAUGGGCACUGCAGGCCACACGGGAGCUGUCUCUGUUGCCACCAGUCAGCCGCGCCACCGUGGUGCCAAGGCCGCCACAAACCGUCCGUAACCAAACGGCGGCGGCCGCUUCAAUGACACUUGUUCUAUCGAAACAAACCAGCCGGGCUCGUCCCGAGGGCCACGGCUCGCUGACUUCUGAUCUACGUUCCCGGCGAUUAUCUCAAGGGCACACCUUCAAAGACGCGGGAACGAGUUUCCGAAGAGAAAGACGGGUCAAUGGAUACAGAGAACACUGCUGUCUUCGCUCUGGCCCGUCCCCUAGUGUCCAGGCCCCCAUCUUUUGAUAAUGGCACCCCAAACUCUGCCAGGGGUCUGAGGAUCCACCCACUUCCUCCAUUAGACCGGCCAUUUCAGAUGGUAUUUCCAGGCCUUGACUACCUGUGGCAAUAUAUGUUUUUCCUUAUUAACAACUGUCUUUGGCAUUCCAAUGAUGUGAUUCGUAUUGUUCCCUGACACCAGAAAGAUCACUUAAUGAGGAUAAAAGUGGUUUUUAAGCUUUU
This is a long non-coding RNA of Neofelis nebulosa (Clouded leopard), 617 nucleotides long. RefSeq lists it as uncharacterized. The transcript has 2 exons. NCBI's taxonomy places the organism in Eukaryota, Metazoa, Chordata, Mammalia, Carnivora, Felidae. The record is from RefSeq and is a predicted model, not a curated record.